Molecule: ribosomal RNA, 1391 nt
Filed under: uncultured bacterium
Lineage: Bacteria
Description: bacterial SSU rRNA
Rfam family: Bacterial small subunit ribosomal RNA
Source: RNAcentral
GACGAACGCUGGCGGCGUGCCUAAUACAUGCAAGUCGAGCGAGCUUGCUUAGAUGAAUUUGGUGCUUGCACCAAAUGAAACUAGAUACAAGCGAGCGGCGGACGGGUGAGUAACACGUGGGUAACCUGCCCAGAGACUGGGAUAACACCUGGAAACAGAUGCUAAUACCGGAUAACAACACUAGACGCAUGUCUAGAGUUUAAAAGAUGGUUCUGCUAUCACUCUUGGAUGGACCUGCGGUGCGUUAGCUAGUUGGUAAGGUAACGGCUUACCAAGGCAAUGAUGCAUAGCCGAGUUGAGAGACUGAUCGGCCACAUUGGGACUGAGACACGGCCCAAACUCCUACGGGAGGCAGCAGUAGGGAAUCUUCCACAAUGGACGCAAGUCUGAUGGAGCAACGCCGCGUGAGUGAAGAAGGGUUUCGGCUCGUAAAGCUCUGUUGGUAGUGAAGAAAGAUAGAGGUAGUAACUGGCCUUUAUUUGACGGUAAUUACUUAGAAAGUCACGGCUAACUACGUGCCAGCAGCCGCGGUAAUACGUAGGUGGCAAGCGUUGUCCGGAUUUAUUGGGCGUAAAGCGAGUGCAGGCGGUUCAAUAAGUCUGAUGUGAAAGCCUUCGGCUCAACCGGAGAAUUGCAUCAGAAACUGUUGAACUUGAGUGCAGAAGAGGAGAGCGGAACUCCAUGUGUAGCGGUGGAAUGCGUAGAUAUAUGGAAGAACACCAGUGGCGAAGGCGGCUCUCUGGUCUGCAACUAACGCUGAGGCUCGAAAGCAUGGGUAGCGAACAGGAUUAGAUACCCUGGUAGUCCAUGCCGUAAACGAUGAGUGCUAAGUGUUGGGAGGUUUCCGCCUCUCAGUGCUGCAGCUAACGCAUUAAGCACUCCGCCUGGGGAGUACGACCGCAAGGUUGAAACUCAAAGGAAUUGACGGGGGCCCGCACAAGCGGUGGAGCAUGUGGUUUAAUUCGAAGCAACGCGAAGAACCUUACCAGGUCUUGACAUCCCUCUGACCGCUCUAGAGAUAGAGUUUUCCUUCGGGACAGAGGUGACAGGUGGUGCAUGGUUGUCGUCAGCUCGUGUCGUGAGAUGUUGGGUUAAGUCCCGCAACGAGCGCAACCCCUAUUGUUAGUUGCCAUCAUUUAGUUGGGCACUCUAGCGAGACUGCCGGUAAUAAACCGGAGGAAGGUGGGGAUGACGUCAAAUCAUCAUGCCCCUUAUGACCUGGGCUACACACGUGCUACAAUGGCUGGUACAACGAGUCGCAAGUCGGUGACGGCAAGCUAAUCUCUUAAAGCCAGUCUCAGUUCGGAUUGUAGGCUGCAACUCGCCUACAUGAAGUCGGAAUCGCUAGUAAUCGCGGAUCAGCACGCCGCGGUGAAUACGUUCCCGGGCCU